AUCUAGCUGAAGAGUACCAAAAUAGGACAAAACGUGCGUCCUGGAU
RNAcentral lists this non-coding RNA (46 nucleotides) under Schistosoma mansoni. Lineage: Eukaryota; Metazoa; Platyhelminthes; Trematoda; Strigeidida; Schistosomatidae. The record is from RNAcentral.